AUACGAAAGGUGCAAGCGUUGUUCGGAUUUACUGGGCGUAAAGAGAGUGUAGGUUGUUUAUUAAGUCGGAUGUGAAGUCCCGGGGCUCAACCUCGGAACUGCAUUCGAUACUGGUAGACUAGAGUUCGGGAGGGGUAAGCGGAAUUCCGUGUGUAGCAGUGAAAUGCGUAGAUAUACGGAGGAACACCUGAGGCGAAGGCGGCUUACUGGACCGAUACUGACACUGAGACUCGAAAGCGUGGGUAGCAAACGGGAUUAGAAACCCCAGUAGUCC
RNAcentral lists this ribosomal RNA (274 nucleotides) under uncultured bacterium. RNAcentral's name for it is "partial 16S ribosomal RNA". It matches the Rfam family "Bacterial small subunit ribosomal RNA", at positions 523 to 796 of the family's 1533-position model. The record is from RNAcentral.